GUGUUCACUUCAGCAGCACAUUUACUAAAAUUGGAAUGAUACAGAGAUUAGCAUGGCCCCUGUGCAAGGGUAACAUGUGUUCUAUAUUAAAAAAUAUAUAUAAGA
Suncus etruscus (white-toothed pygmy shrew) is the source of this 105-nucleotide small nuclear RNA. Lineage: Eukaryota; Metazoa; Chordata; Mammalia; Eulipotyphla; Soricidae. The record is from RefSeq and is a predicted model, not a curated record.